Molecule: non-coding RNA, 72 nt
Organism: Phrynosoma platyrhinos (Desert horned lizard)
Lineage: Eukaryota; Metazoa; Chordata; Lepidosauria; Squamata; Phrynosomatidae
Source: the annotation of a GenBank genome assembly
GCCAGCGUGGUAUAGUGGUUUGAGCACUGGACUACGACUCUGGAGACCAAGGUUCAAAACUCUGCUUGGGCA